CGUCAUCUCGUAGUAUGUGUACUCAUGCACUGUAAUGUUUGCUCGAAUGUCCAGAACUUCAAUCUGAGCAUCCAAACGAGGUAUAUCUGACCUUCUUCGGACCACUUGUGUCAAGAGUUACGCAAUGACAUGGAUUAGAGGUUGUACGAAGUCAGGAAGAGGGGUCUAUGCCCAUGGUCUUCAAGCUUCAAAUUCUAUCCAGAGUACUAUCACACGUAAUAUUCACUCGGGAUUGUCAAUCCUUGGUUCUUGUGGGAAAUUGUUGGAUGUAUGUAUGUAUGAAGUGUUGAGACGAC
RNAcentral lists this long non-coding RNA (296 nucleotides) under Panax ginseng (ginseng). RNAcentral's name for it is "long non-coding RNA (PGIN_LNC016508)". Lineage: Eukaryota; Viridiplantae; Streptophyta; Magnoliopsida; Apiales; Araliaceae. The record is from RNAcentral.